AAAAAAUAAUAUUUGUGACUCUAUUCUUUAUUUGUGACUCAAGGUUCAGGAACAAAUCACCAUUGCUUUUGAGUGAACCUCUAUUCUUUAUUUGUGACUCAAGGUUCAGUUAAUGAUGGAAAAAAU
This is a small nucleolar RNA of Lupinus angustifolius (narrow-leaved blue lupine), 126 nucleotides long. It matches the Rfam family "Small nucleolar RNA snoR74". NCBI's taxonomy places the organism in Eukaryota, Viridiplantae, Streptophyta, Magnoliopsida, Fabales, Fabaceae. The record is from Rfam.